AUUAGUCGGAAAGUUCAUCCCCCACCGGAAAUUCACAGCCAUCCGUUUAGUCACAGGAAUGGCUGUCCUUGCCAUUACAGCAACACCUGAGAAAACACUAUCUCUAAUGCUUUUCGUCUCAGCCAAAUGCCUCUGAAUUCCUCCAUCAGAAAGAACUCCAAACUCCUCCUGAGAACCAUGGCCACUACUACUACUCUCCAG
Molecule: unclassified non-coding RNA, 201 nt
Filed under: Hevea brasiliensis (rubber tree)
Lineage: Eukaryota; Viridiplantae; Streptophyta; Magnoliopsida; Malpighiales; Euphorbiaceae
Source: RNAcentral